Molecule: ribosomal RNA, 254 nt
Filed under: uncultured bacterium
Lineage: Bacteria
Description: partial 16S ribosomal RNA
Rfam family: Bacterial small subunit ribosomal RNA
Source: RNAcentral
UACGAAGGGGGCUAGCGUUGUUCGGAUUUACUGGGCGUAAAGAGCGCGCAGGCGGUCGUUCAAGUCGCGUGUGAAAGCCCCCGGCUCAACUGGGGAGGGUCACGCGAUACUGAUCGACUCGAAGGCAGGAGAGGGUAGUGGAAUUCCCGGUGUAGUGGUGAAAUGCGUAGAUAUCGGGAGGAACACCAGUGGCGAAGGCGACUACCUGGCCUGUUUCUUGACGCUGAGGCGCGAAAGCUAGGGGAGCAAACGGG